RNAcentral lists this ribosomal RNA (135 nucleotides) under Fukomys damarensis (Damara mole-rat). The record is from RNAcentral. Lineage: Eukaryota; Metazoa; Chordata; Mammalia; Rodentia; Bathyergidae.
CUCUACAGUGAUACCACCCUGAAUGCACCCGGUCUCAUUUGACAUUGGAAUCUAAGCAGAUUUGAGCCUGGUUAGUACUUGGAUGGAGGUAAAAGUUUUACUAAAAAUACCAAAUAAAUCAGUGGAUUUUAAUGC